UUGGUUAAGUCCCGCAACGAGCGCAACCCUUGUCAUUAGUUGCUACGCAAGAGCACUCUAAUGAGACUGCCGGUGACAAACCGGAGGAAGGUGGGGAUGACGUCAAGUCCUCAUGGCCCUUAUGGGUAGGGCUUCACACGUCAUACAAUGGUCGGUACAGAGGGUUGCCAAGCCGCGAGGUGGAGCCAAUCCCGGAAAGCCGAUCGUAGUCCGGAUCGCAGUCUGCAACUCGACUGCGUGAAGUCGGAAUCGCUAGUAAUCGCGGAUCAGCAUGCCGCGGUGGAUACGUUCCCGGGUCUU
This 300-nucleotide ribosomal RNA is filed under the name uncultured Methyloversatilis sp. RNAcentral's name for it is "bacterial SSU rRNA". It matches the Rfam family "Bacterial small subunit ribosomal RNA", at positions 1076 to 1382 of the family's 1533-position model. Lineage: Bacteria; Pseudomonadati; Pseudomonadota; Betaproteobacteria; Nitrosomonadales; Sterolibacteriaceae. The record is from RNAcentral.